Long non-coding RNA from Thunnus maccoyii (southern bluefin tuna), 1280 nucleotides. RefSeq lists it as uncharacterized. The transcript is spliced from 2 exons. The record is from RefSeq and is a predicted model, not a curated record. Lineage: Eukaryota; Metazoa; Chordata; Actinopteri; Scombriformes; Scombridae.
GAACCUUUUCUCUAUGUCCUCCUGUUGUUGUUUUACUGCAUUUUCAUCCAGUGCCGUGUUGAUUGUAAAACACCUAAACAACAAACUGUGUUAAUAUUAAAUUACUGUGGGGGGAUAAAAUACGAUUUAUAAACUUCAAAUAAAAACACCACCAAAAUCUGAGUAUUUAUGAGUAGUUUCUCAAAACAAACUCUCUCAAUGCAAUAACGUGACGUUGCUGACGCUGUCGCUCCUUGAUUGGUCGGCACGAUGUUAGCAUGUUAGCCUGUUAGCUAACCUUCGCAGUAUUGUUUUGAUGUUGUAAACAGCUUGUAGUUAGUUAGCAGUCCACCUCUGGACUACAUGAAGCUGUUGUGUGAUUUAUGCUGUAUUUUCUCACAACGUGAGUUUAAAGUCAACUUCGUCAUCGUGCUUCAUGAUGAUCAUCUGAUCACAGAGAACUGAACCCGGAGGUUUCAGCACUGAGAUAAGUUCACUGGGGACCUGUUAGCUUUCACCUUCUCUGCAACACACAGGACUGAACAUUUACAAACCACAAACACCUCUGUGCUGUUUACCUGUGAAACCAGAAGAAUAAUGCUAAUCUACAGUGUCUCUGAUAGGAAAUGGAUUAUGUGAAUUAAAAAAGCCCUGCAGGGUUUUCCCUCAUAAAUAGAUGGAUAUAAUGAAUAUGACCUAAACUGUUUGAUAUAGUUUAUUAUUUUGUUUUAUUGUCAUAAACAUCAUAUUUUAAUGGACAUUUUGGCAUUUUACCUGUGAAGUUAUACAAUAACAAUUAUUAAAGAGUUCACAAUGUACCAGGAGUUUCAGGUUGUCUGUCAAUCAGUGAACCAAGAACCAUAAACUGUGUCACUGAAUGUUAUUAUUCAAAGUAUGAAGACGGAUCAAGGUUCACUUAUUGUACUGGCUUUUUCCAUCAUUGCACAGUCUAUCAGCAGAUGGAGUUUGCUCAGUUCAGUCGUUAUGGAGAUUCAUCCUAACAACUACUGACAACUGUGUAAACUCAAUCAGCUGAUGAAUGUAUGAUAUGGUUGAAAGUGCCAGGAAAAAGUUUGUAAGUGGACCUUGAGUUAGGAUUGUAUUGUUGAAUAACUAGGAAUGACAUUUUCAAAAUUAAAGGAAUAAUUAAACAUUUGAGGAAAUGUUUUCUUGCCAAGAGUUUGAUGAGAAGAUCUAUAUCACUCCAUUUAUCUGUUAAAUAUGAAGCUACAGCCAGGAGAUGUGUAGCAUAGCAUAAGAGUAAAACAAGGGGAACAGCUAGCCUGGCUCUGUCUGAAAAA